This 433-nucleotide ribosomal RNA is filed under the name crenarchaeote SCGC AAA007-N19. RNAcentral's name for it is "SSU rRNA". It matches the Rfam family "Archaeal small subunit ribosomal RNA", at positions 467 to 900 of the family's 1478-position model. Lineage: Archaea; Thermoproteati; Thermoproteota. The record is from RNAcentral.
GCGGUAAAACCAGCACCUCAAGUGGUCAGGAGGAUUAUUGGGCCUAAAGCAUCCGUAGCCGGCUCUGUAAGUUUUCGGUUAAAUCCAUGUGCUCAACGCAUGGGCUGUCGAAAAUACUGCAUAGCUAGGGAGUGGGAGAGGUAGACGGUACUCGGUAGGAAGGGGUAAAAUCCUUUGAUCUAUCGAUGACCACCUGUGGCGAAGGCGGUCUACCAGAACACGUUCGACGGUGAGGGAUGAAAGCUGGGGGAGCAAACCGGAUUAGAUACCCGGGUAGUCCCAGCUGUAAACGAUGCAGACUCGAUGAUGCAUUGGCAUAUAGCCAGUGCAGUGUCGCAGGGAAGCCGUUAAGUCUGCCGCCUGGGAAGUACGUACGCAAGUAUGAAACUUAAAGGAAUUGGCGGGGGAGCACGGUCAUACCUUGGUUUCCUGA